Molecule: ribosomal RNA, 868 nt
Filed under: Escherichia coli
Lineage: Bacteria; Pseudomonadati; Pseudomonadota; Gammaproteobacteria; Enterobacterales; Enterobacteriaceae
Description: partial 23S ribosomal RNA
Rfam family: Bacterial large subunit ribosomal RNA
Source: RNAcentral
GUGUGUGUUAGUGGAAGCGUCUGGAAAGGCGCGCGAUACAGGGUGACAGCCCCGUACACAAAAAUGCACAUACUGUGAGCUCGAUGAGUAGGGCGGGACACGUGGUAUCCUGUCUGAAUAUGGGGGGACCAUCCUCCAAGGCUAAAUACUCCUGACUGACCGAUAGUGAACCAGUACCGUGAGGGAAAGGCGAAAAGAACCCCGGCGAGGGGAGUGAAAAAGAACCUGAAACCGUGUACGUACAAGCAGUGGGAGCACGCUUAGGCGUGUGACUGCGUACCUUUUGUAUAAUGGGUCAGCGACUUAUAUUCUGUAGCAAGGUUAACCGAAUAGGGGAGCCGAAGGGAAACCGAGUCUUAACUGGGCGUUAAGUUGCAGGGUAUAGACCCGAAACCCGGUGAUCUAGCCAUGGGCAGGUUGAAGGUUGGGUAACACUAACUGGAGGACCGAACCGACUAAUGUUGAAAAAUUAGCGGAUGACUUGUGGCUGGGGGUGAAAGGCCAAUCAAACCGGGAGAUAGCUGGUUCUCCCCGAAAGCUAUUUAGGUAGCGCCUCGUGAAUUCAUCUCCGGGGGUAGAGCACUGUUUCGGCAAGGGGGUCAUCCCGACUUACCAACCCGAUGCAAACUGCGAAUACCGGAGAAUGUUAUCACGGGAGACACACGGCGGGUGCUAACGUCCGUCGUGAAGAGGGAAACAACCCAGACCGCCAGCUAAGGUCCCAAAGUCAUGGUUAAGUGGGAAACGAUGUGGGAAGGCCCAGACAGCCAGGAUGUUGGCUUAGAAGCAGCCAUCAUUUAAAGAAAGCGUAAUAGCUCACUGGUCGAGUCGGCCUGCGCGGAAGAUGUAACGGGGCUAAACCAUGCAC